CAGUCGCCGCGGGAAUACAGAGGGUGCGAGCGUUAAUCGGAUUUACUGGGCGUAAAGCGUGCGCAGGCGGUGUUGUAAGACUGAUGUGAAAUCCCCGGGCUCAACCUGGGAACUGCAUUGGUGACUGCAACGCUGGAGUGCGGCAGAGGGGGAUGGAAUUCCGCGUGUAGCAGUGAAAUGCGUAGAUAUGCGGAGGAACACCGAUGGCGAAGGCAAUCCCCUGGGCCUGCACUGACGCUCAUGCACGAAAGCGUGGGGAGCAAACAGGAUUAGAUACCCGAGUAGUCCCUGUCUCUUAUAC
Molecule: ribosomal RNA, 301 nt
Filed under: uncultured bacterium
Lineage: Bacteria
Description: partial 16S ribosomal RNA
Rfam family: Bacterial small subunit ribosomal RNA
Source: RNAcentral